UGCUCCCAUGAGAGUGGCGCACGGGUGAGUAACGCGUAUGCAACCUACCUUUAACAGAGGGAUAGCCCAUAGAAAUGUGGAUUAAUACCUCAUAGUUCUUUUGGCCUGCAUGGGUUGAAAGAUAAAGCCACCAGGCGGUUAAAGAUGGGCAUGCGUGACAUUAGCUAGUUGGUAAGGUAACGGCUUACCAAGGCUACGAUGUCUAGGGGUUCUGAGAGGAUGAUCCCCCACACUGGUACUGAGACACGGACCAGACUCCUACGGGAGGCAGCAGUGAGGAAUAUUGGUCAAUGGGCGCAAGCCUGAACCAGCCAUCCCGCGUGCAGGAUGACGGCCCUAUGGGUUGUAAACUGCUUUUAUACACCAAGAAAAACUUUCACGUGUGGGAGCUUGACGGUAGUGUAUGAAUAAGCAUCGGCUAACUCCGUGCGAGCAGCCGCGGUAAUACGGAGGAUGCAAGCGUUAUCCGGAUUCAUUGGGUUUAAAGGGUGCGUAGGCGGCUUUUUAAGUCAGUGGUGAAAUCCUGCCGCUUAACGGUAGAAUUGCCAUUGAUACUGAGAAGCUUGAGUACAUUUGAGGUAAGCGGAAUGUGUAGUGUAGCGGUGAAAUGCUUAGAUAUUACACAGAACACCCAAUUGCGAAGGCAGCUUACUAAACUGUUACUGACGCUGAUGCACGAAAGCGUGGGGAGCGAACAGGAUUAGAUACCCUGGUAGUCCACGCCGUAAACGAUGCUCACUCGCUGUUUGCGAUACACAGCAAGCGGCCAAGCGAAAGCAUUAAGUGAGCCACCUGGGGAGUACGAUCGCAAGGUUGAAACUCAAAGGAAUUGACGGGGGCCC
RNAcentral lists this ribosomal RNA (842 nucleotides) under uncultured bacterium. RNAcentral's name for it is "bacterial SSU rRNA". It matches the Rfam family "Bacterial small subunit ribosomal RNA", at positions 82 to 922 of the family's 1533-position model. The record is from RNAcentral.